This 986-nucleotide unclassified non-coding RNA is filed under the name Leishmania donovani. RNAcentral describes it as "gene:unknown". The record is from RNAcentral. Lineage: Eukaryota; Euglenozoa; Kinetoplastea; Trypanosomatida; Trypanosomatidae.
GGGCACCAUCAACAGCAACAAACAAUAUAUAUAUAUAUAUAUAUAUGCCGAGUUUAUGCGUGCGUGCUUCGGUGGAUAUGCCUCGACAUUGACGUAUGCGCGUGCGCGUGUGCGUGUGUGCAUGCCAUAAACCUGUUGUGCUCUCUCUGCCGAUCUCUUUGUGCUCGUGCGUGGUCGUCUCUGUAAGGUUGGGCGUCUCGUCUCGUCUCGUCUCGUCUCUCUCCCUCCUUGCUCGUUUUCUUUUUUCGUAUACAUCUACGUGUUGCGCCUCUACCUUCCACGCCUCAUCUCCCUCCAUCCCCGUCCUUUCCACGUCUCCCUUGCCUUGUGUCUCCACUUCCACACCCCGCCAUGCGCCUCUCUCGUGCGCGUGUGUGUGCGUUGCUGUUCGCUCUUCAUGUCCCCUUGCCCAUUUCUUCCGACACGAAGGGUCUGUUGGUGUUUCAGUCACUUGUUAUGUACUGGCUUCGUGCUUCGCCUCUCCCCUGUGUCGGUGUAGGCGGUCACUGACCUGGGUAUGCGCAGAAAAGGAGGUUGUUGCUUACGCGCACACGCUUCCGUCGGCGCGGCGACCGCAGCAGCACACAGGCGCAGAGGGCUGACACACACCAAUCAGGAUUCAACAAAAAGCCUGAAGGGGAGAGAAAAACUGGCAAAAGGGAGGGCGGUGAGCCACUUACUCACCCACACGAACAUGGAAAGUGCGCGCGCGUAUGUGUGUGUGUGUGGAGGGAGGGUGAGAGGAUGCAGAGAAACAUAGAGAGGGAGAGGGACGCGAGGCAGGGAAAGCAAACCUAUCGUGAGUGCAUGGAGGCAGUGGCGGACGUGUGCAGGCACGACGUGCAGCAUCAGCGCUGCACACUCUUUUUCUGUCUCGCCUGUCUUGUUCCUCUAUCGCUGUGCGCUCUCCCCCUCUCCAUCGAAAAAGACGAAGGACACGGUGAAGUACUGAUCAAGUGACGGGCUCACACAUACACACACACAAC